This 61-nucleotide microRNA precursor is filed under the name Caenorhabditis elegans. RNAcentral's name for it is "Cel-Bantam-P4_pre stem-loop". The record is from RNAcentral. Lineage: Eukaryota; Metazoa; Nematoda; Chromadorea; Rhabditida; Rhabditidae.
CGGUUUUCUCUGUGAUCUACAGAAUGACAGCUAAUCGUCUGAGAUCAUCGUGAAAGCCAGU